GUUUGAUCCUGGCUCAGAAUCAACGCUGGCGGCGUGCCUAACACAUGCAAGUCGAACGCGACUUAGGCUUCGGUCUAAGUUGAGUGGCGAACGGGUGAGUAACACGUGGGUGACCUACCUUCGAGUGGGGGAUAACGUCCCGAAAGGGACGCUAAUACCGCAUAACAUCCUGCCGUUGAAAGCGGUGGAGAUCAAAGCCGGGGAUCGCAAGACCUGGCGCUUGAUGAGGGGCCCGCGCCUGAUUAGCUAGUUGGUGGGGUAAUGGCUCACCAAGGCGACGAUCAGUAUCCGGCCUGAGAGGGCGGACGGACACACUGGGACUGAGACACGGCCCAGACUCCUACGGGAGGCAGCAGUGGGGAAUUGUUCGCAAUGGGCGCAAGCCUGACGACGCAACGCCGCGUGGAGGAUGAAGGUCUUCGGAUUGUAAACUCCUGUUGCUCGGGACGAAAAGCUUCGACCUAACACGUCGAAGUCUGACGGUACCGAGUGAGGAAGCCCCGGCUAACUCUGUGCCAGCAGCCGCGGUAAUACAGAGGGGGCAAGCGUUGUUCGGAAUUACUGGGCGUAAAGGGCGCGUAGGCGGCCUGCUAAGUCGAACGUGAACUCCCUGGGCUCAACCCAGGAACUGCGUCCGAUACUGGUUGGCUUGAAUCCGGGAGAGGGAUGUGGAAUUCCAGGUGUAGCGGUGAAAUGCGUAGAUAUCUGGAGGAACACCGGUGGCGAAGGCGACAUCCUGGACCGGUAUUGACGCUGAGGCGCGAAAGCCAGGGGAGCAAACGGGAUUAGAUACCCCGGUAGUCCUGGCCCUAAACGACGAAUGCUUGGUGUGGCGGGUAUCGAUCCCUGCCGUGCCGAAGUUAACGCAUUAAGCAUUCCG
This 880-nucleotide ribosomal RNA is filed under the name uncultured bacterium. RNAcentral describes it as "bacterial SSU rRNA". It matches the Rfam family "Bacterial small subunit ribosomal RNA", at positions 11 to 871 of the family's 1533-position model. The record is from RNAcentral.